GAUGAACGCUAGCUACAGGCUUAACACAUGCAAGUCGAGGGGAAACGGCAUCGAAAGCUUGCUUUUGAUGGGCGUCGACCGGCGCACGGGUGAGUAACGCGUAUCCAACCUGCCCAUCACUUGGGAAUAACCUUGCGAAAGUAAGACUAAUGCCCAAUGACAUCCCACGAAGGCAUCCGAAUGGGAUUAAAGAUUUAUCGGUGAUGGAUGGGGAUGCGUCUGAUUAGCUUGUUGGCGGGGUGACGGCCCACCAAGGCAACGAUCAGUAGGGGUUCUGAGAGGAAGGUCCCCCACAUUGGAACUGAGACACGGUCCAAACGCCUACGGGAGGCAGCAGUGAGGAAUAUUGGUCAAUGGGCGAGAGCCUGAACCAGCCAAGUAGCGUGCAGGAGGACGGCCCUAUGGGUUGUAAACUGCUUUUAUAAGGGAAUAAAGUGGGUCACGUGUGACUUUUUGCAUGUACCUUAUGAAUAAGGACCGGCUAAUUCCGUG
This 492-nucleotide ribosomal RNA is filed under the name uncultured bacterium. Its description in RNAcentral is "partial 16S ribosomal RNA". It matches the Rfam family "Bacterial small subunit ribosomal RNA", at positions 28 to 507 of the family's 1533-position model. The record is from RNAcentral.